This 1248-nucleotide ribosomal RNA is filed under the name 'Raphanus sativus' phyllody phytoplasma. RNAcentral describes it as "bacterial SSU rRNA". It matches the Rfam family "Bacterial small subunit ribosomal RNA", at positions 153 to 1399 of the family's 1533-position model. The record is from RNAcentral. Lineage: Bacteria; Bacillati; Mycoplasmatota; Mollicutes; Acholeplasmatales; Acholeplasmataceae.
GAAACGACUGCUAAGACUGGAUAGGAAGAUAAAAGGCAUCUUGUAUCUUUUAAAAGACCUAGUUAAUAGGUAUGCUUUAGGAGGGGCUUGCGCCAUAUUAGUUAGUUGGUAGGGUAAUGGCCUACCAAGACGAUGAUGUGUAGCUGGACUGAGAGGUUGAACAGCCACAUUGGGACUGAGACACGGCCCAAACUCCUACGGGAGGCAGCAGUAGGGAAUUUUCGGCAAUGGAGGAAACUCUGACCGAGCAACGCCGCGUGAAUGACGAAGUACUUCGGUAUGUAAAGUUCUUUUAUCGAGGAAGAAAAGCAAAUGGCGAACCAUUUGUUUGCCGGUACUUGAUGAAUAAGCCCCGGCUAAUUAUGUGCCAGCAGCCGCGGUAAGACAUAAGGGGCAAGUGUUAUCCGGAAUUAUUGGGCGUAAAGGGUGCGUAGGCGGUCUAGUAAGUCAGUGGUGUAAUGUCAACGCUUAACGUUGUCCGGCUAUUGAAACUGCUAAACUUGAGUUAGAUAGAGGCGAGUGGAAUUCCAUGUGUAGCGGUAAAAUGCGUAAAUAUAUGGAGGAACACCAGAGGCGUAGGCGGCUCGCUGGGUCUUAACUGACGCUGAGGCACGAAAGCGUGGGGAGCAAACAGGAUUAGAUACCCUGGUAGUCCACGCCGUAAACGAUGAGUACUAAGUGUCGGGUUAAACCGGUACUGAAGUUAACACAUUAAGUACUCCGCCUGAGUAGUACGUACGCAAGUAUGAAACUUAAAGGAAUUGACGGGACUCCGCACAAGCGGUGGAUCAUGUUGUUUAAUUCGAAGAUACCCGAAAAACCUUACCAGGUCUUGACAUGUUUUUGCAAAAUGAUAGUAAUAUCGUGGAGGUUACCAGAAACACAGGUGGUGCAUGGUUGUCGUCAGCUCGUGCCGUGAGAUGUUAGGUUAAGUCCUAAAACGAGCGAAACCCUUAUCGUUAGUUGCCAGCACGUUAUGGUGGGGACUUUAACGAGACUGCCAAUGAUAAAUUGGAGGAAGGUGAGGAUCACGUCAAAUCAGCAUGCCCCUUAUGACCUGGGCUACAAACGUGAUACAAUGGCUGUUACAAAGGGUAGCUGAAACGCAAGUUCUUGGCCAAUCCCCAAAAACAGCCCCAGUCCGGAUUGAAGUCUGCAACUCGACUUCAUGAAGUUGGAAUCGCUAGUAAUCGCGAAUCAGCAUGUCGCGGUGAAUACGUUCACGGGGUUUGUACACACCGCCCGUCA